GUAACCCAUGAGUCUCAUUAAAACCCUUGGAAUGAUACAGAGAAGAUUAGAAUGGCCCCUGAGCAAGGCUGACACGCAAAUUUGUAAAGCCUUCCACAUUUAC
RNAcentral lists this small nuclear RNA (103 nucleotides) under Castor canadensis (American beaver). Lineage: Eukaryota; Metazoa; Chordata; Mammalia; Rodentia; Castoridae. The record is from RNAcentral.